AACAAAAUAAAACUUUCAACAACGGAUCUCUUGGCUCUCGCAUCGAUGAAGAACGCAGCGAAUUGCGAUAAGUAAUGUGAAUUGCAGAAUUCAGUGAAUCAUCGAAUCUUUGAACGCAGCUUGCGCUCUCUGGUAUUCCGGAGAGCAUGCCUGUUUCAGUGUCAUGAA
This 168-nucleotide ribosomal RNA is filed under the name Trichosporon coremiiforme. Its description in RNAcentral is "5.8S ribosomal RNA". It matches the Rfam family "5.8S ribosomal RNA". Rfam says of the family: 5.8S ribosomal RNA (5.8S rRNA) is a component of the large subunit of the eukaryotic ribosome. Lineage: Eukaryota; Fungi; Basidiomycota; Tremellomycetes; Trichosporonales; Trichosporonaceae. The record is from RNAcentral.